This 200-nucleotide ribosomal RNA is filed under the name uncultured bacterium. RNAcentral's name for it is "partial 16S ribosomal RNA". It matches the Rfam family "Bacterial small subunit ribosomal RNA", at positions 30 to 232 of the family's 1533-position model. The record is from RNAcentral.
AUUGAACGCUGGCGGCAUGCCUUACACAUGCAAGUCGAACGGUAACAGGUCUUCGGAUGCUGACGAGUGGCGAACGGGUGAGUAAUAUAUCGGAACGUGCCCAGUCGUGGGGGAUAACGCAGUGAAAGCUGUGCUAAUACCGCAUACGAUCUAUGGAUGAAAGCGGGGGAUCGCAAGACCUCGCGCGAUUGGAGCGGCCG